Molecule: non-coding RNA, 24 nt
Filed under: Arabidopsis thaliana (thale cress)
Lineage: Eukaryota; Viridiplantae; Streptophyta; Magnoliopsida; Brassicales; Brassicaceae
Source: RNAcentral
GUGCAGAAGUAGUUUGUGGUUGCU